CUGGCUCAGGAUGAACGCUAGCGACAGGCUAACACAUGCAAGUCGAGGGGCAGCACGGGAGUAGCAAUACAACUGGUGGCGACCGGCGCACGGGUGAGUAACGCGUAUGCAACCUACCUAUCAGAGGGGAAUAACCCGGCGAAAGUCGGACUAAUACCGCAUAAAACAGGGGGCACCGCAUGGUGAUAUUUGUUAAAGAAAUUCGCUGAUAGAUGGGCAUGCGUUCCAUUAGGUAGUUGGUGAGGUAACGGCUCACCAAGCCGACGAUGGAUAGGGGAACUGAGAGGUUGGUCCCCCACACUGGUACUGAGACACGGACCAGACUCCUACGGGGAGGCAGCAGUGAGGAAUAUUGGUCAAUGGGCGAGAGCCUGAACCAGCCAAGUCGCGUGAAGGAAGAAGGAUCUAUGGUUCGUAAACUUCUUUUGCAGGGGAAUAAAGUGCAGGACGUGUCCUGUUUUGUAUGUACCCUGAGAAUAAGGAUCGGCUAACUCCGUGCCAGCCGCCGC
This 509-nucleotide ribosomal RNA is filed under the name uncultured bacterium. RNAcentral describes it as "bacterial SSU rRNA". It matches the Rfam family "Bacterial small subunit ribosomal RNA", at positions 19 to 518 of the family's 1533-position model. The record is from RNAcentral.